UAUAUAUAUAUAUAUAUAUAUAUAUAUAUAUAUAUAUAUAUAUAUAUAUAUAUAUAUAUAUAUAGGCUAUUGAUUUUAUUUCAGUUAAAAUUUAUUUUAAGGUAACAAAAGAUUUAGCGAGUGAUUUGUUACACUGAUUUAAACGAUGACUUUUACUGAUUCAUUCAAAGAGCCAAUGGAAGAAUUGUAUUUUCAAUUGUGUUUUCCAUAUGUGGACGCAUAACUUGACAUAAUCCAAACGCAAUUGCAAAUUUUGCAUUACUUUUUGCGUUGAUACUUUCACGAACGCACAGUGACUGACAAAUUUCAAAUGAAAAAGCAGUCCAUUUGCAACUGUAUUUCCCAUGUCUUACGAGUUAUGUGCCUGUCAUAUUUAAAUAACAAUAUUAAUCACCAUACCUGCUUUUUCACUCUCUGUGUUGCGCCUGUAACCAGACAAAACUCAAAUGAAAUCGCAAAUCUUUUUGGCAUUUGAAUUUCCAAUAUCAACCCGUGCUGAAGGAGAUAUAUAUAUGACUAGGGCUGUCCCCGACUAAAGUCUUUUCUGGUUGACUAGUAGUCGUUCAUUUGAAGCAUUAGUCGACUAAUUGCACGUUUAUUAAUAAACGAUUUCAAUUAUAAUAAUGAGCCUUUAAUUGCCUACAUAGCCUAUAAGCUCUCAAGCACACGCAUAAGCUUGCCACAGCACAGCGACAGAAGAAUUAAUGAUUAUGAAUGUGUCAGGGAAAAACAGUAACAGAUGCUGCAUUAACAUUUUAAGAAUUUAUUGCUAAACUAGUGCUUUCUUUGUUCUCUGUUUAAGAGAUGACUCCUCUGUCUGCAAUUUUAAUAUGGCUUACAUAAUCUGAGAAUAUUUCUUUUUCAUUUGAAUUGGCUUAUUUGAAUUGACAUUUCGCUCUCUAUAGAUAUAUUUUUUUUCAUGUCUGUCAGACAAAGCGCUCAAGUUCACAGAGACUGAGACGCCAGAAAGCGCAUCCUGCUUGCUUUCAUUGUUUUACUAAAGUGCAAUGUUUUGUCGUUAUUGUGAGUGCACAAAAAUAAUCGUAGAGUCUUUACAGAUUUGAAAGAUGUAUUACGCUUAUCUGUAUGAGCAAAAAUAACAGAGUAUUUUAAAAGCAAUUGCGCACCGGCGCCUCCAUCUGUCCUGCAGUAAGUUGAAUGAUAGACAAGCGUUUGGAUGUCCUGCCCAGUAGCCUACUGUAUUACCACAGACCAGCCGUUAACAAUCCGUGUGACUUUUUGGAUUUUUAAUUAUUUAUUUAUUUUCUGUGAUUUAAGCAACUAAUAAAAUUUUGGUCGACCAAGCCUCUUCUGAUUGACUAAUGGUUAGUCGACUAUUAGGGGGCAGCCCUUUAUAUAAUACAAUUUGCAAUUCCUUUUAAAAAAAUACUGAAUAUCUGAAAGUCCUGAAUAUUCUUCUAUAGAACUGGCUCACAUGAGUCAUUUGGUCCCAAAUUGGACUUCGUUGGCUAUGCUAUAUGUUUGUCAUUGCAUGCAGUCAGCAACGAUCCAGGCAAUUCAGACCGAUAACUUUUGAGUUUGCUUUUGACUGAUUCAUUCAAAGAACCAGUUAACAUGAAUCCUUUUUUCCUAAAUUGGACUACAUUGGACGUGUUGUAUGUUUUUUUUGCUGCAUGCAGAGACAACACUAUAGAAUUUGAGUGACCUAAUAUUGCUAAACUUACUGAAAUGUAGCUUGAAAGCACUUUUGAACCAAUUUAUUAAAAUAAGUAGAAUAAAAACACUGUAGUAGUCAUAAUUUUAGCAGUGUCAGACCCACCCAGACACUGUAAUUUGCAUCAUGAGGGUUUGAAUUUUACCAUCUUAAUUCUCAUCCACGAGUGUGUAAUUUACACCUGGCAUUUUCUGUCUGACCACACUAGAGAUGCAUUGGAAUGAUGGUAUAUAUGCAAUCCAGCUAAAAAAAAAGCUAAAAAACAAAAAAAAAAUCCAGAAAUGAAAUGCAGGUGUAAAGAGGCCUUAUUUGUUAUUUCUGCAUCACAUGAUUCCAGCUGUCUUCUGCGUGUCAGGAUGAGCAGAGGCCAUCUCAGGUGCAGAGACCUGCUUUAGUUUUCAGUUUUGGUGUCCUGACGUGAGCACAUGAUGUUUAGGUUUCUCAGCGUGGUUUUCAGUGUGUGUUCAUGUGUAAAGUAUGUCUGGGCUCUUUAAUUUGUAUAUCAAAGGUGUUUGCUGGCAGCGUGUUUGUGUAAAUGCAGUGAAGUGUUGUGCAGUGUGUUUUUCUCUCAGCUAACAGCUGGUUCAAGAUGGGUCUACACUGCAGGUGGCGACGUGACGCUCCAGUUUUGAUGCGUCAUACCAAGACCGUUUCGAUGCAGUAUAGAUGCUGCUGUCAGUCAUUGCAGUGCUGUGGUUCAGCUCCUCUAGUCCGUAAACAGGAUGCUCGCUCGACCUGUGUGAAUAUGAAGAUGAAUAUGAGUAGCUGUGUGUGUAUUUUUUCAUGAGUGUACAUGUAUUUUGCCAUGUUGUGUCAUUGUACUCACACUUUCCAAAGUGCAUGUGCAUUUAUUGUGAAUAAGCCAAUAAAUAUUUUUUUAUGUACUUUAAGGGCCAGUGUGUAUUCUCAGCAUGCUGUUGUUACAGGCGAACAAGUGUUUUUGAAUCUGCAGCUACAGAUAAACUGCUCAAGUUGGGCGAAAGAUUGAAAUAAAAAAUGAGGAAAAAAAUAAACCCUUUUUGCUAAAUGCAUUAAUGCACUUUUUUCGUUUUUUCUUCCCUGACGUGCAUUUAAUGCAAAAAGCACUUCAUGCAAUAACACAGCUAGCGAUGGAUGACGAGUGGUUUUGCUAGCUGUUUCAGAUUACAGAAAACAAGCCUUUUUUUUUUUUUUAAAGAAAAGUAAGAUAUUUGUCCAUCAUCAGGAGGUUUAGACUGACACAGGAAACUUGCUCUCUUUUUUUCUUCUGCGCUUCUCCCUCUCCCUCUCUCUAUCUCUGUGUCUUUCUUUCAUGUGUAUUUUCUCAGUACUAAAGCUGUGGUGGGGCUUUCGAGAGCAGCAGUAAAGGUCAGAGUGAUUGACACUCUGUUUUAACAGCUCACAGGGAGAGAGAGAGGGAGGUAAAUAAAUGAAGGAGUGUAAAAAUAAAGCCUGUGAAAACCAUGUGCAAACCAUUCUGACCUAAGAAGGGAUCAGUCUUUAGCUCAGCAUGCACGUUUGUACAAAUGUGUGAGUGUAUGUUUUAAAAAGAAAAUGGUAUAUGCUGAAAAACAUGCUAACUGUCAAAACCACUGAAGAACAUUGAUAUACUGAAUAUAUACUCUAAAAUGUAUUUUUUUAAACUAUUUUUUAAACUAUAUGGUAUUAUUUUCAAAAAAAUUAGAAAAAAAUUAGAAAAGAUAUUAAAUUGAUUUAAUAUACAUACUUUGCUGGCCAAAUAGGAGCACUAAAAGCAAAAUUGUAUUGUUGUGCCCUCUCCCUCAAAUAUUAAGGAAGGAAAAAAAAAACCUACUAUAGGGGUCAAAAAUUUUUAUUAAGUAUGUAUGGAAUUAUUUUCAGAAAAUGUAGAAAAAAAUAUUAAAUUGAAUUAAUGCAAAUAUUAGUAAAAUAUUAAAAUGUAUAUUUGUGUAAGGAUUUUAUUAACAGUUAUUUCACUGAAAGAGCAUCAAAUGUAAAGUGUCACAUAGAAAUUGUUGGAAUGUCAAUUAAAUUCCAUUUUCACUGUAAAUUGCAAGAGGACUUCAUAAAACUGUACAUUUUACAGUAUUUUACUGUAAAAGUUAAUGAAAUGUUCCAUUAGAUUUAUUAGAGUUUUAUGCACACACAUAUCUCUUGUAUAUACUAUAGUAAGAGAACUUAUCGUUAACCAAUUAACAGCUUUUACUGUAGCAUUUUUACAGUCUUUUUACAGAUUGUGUGUAUAUAUUUGUGAUGCUGAUAAAUUUAUUUUAUUUCUGAAUUUCAGUUGUAUCUUUUUAUAAGUUUUAAUAGAUUUAUUUAAUAGAAUUAUUUUAGAUUAUUAAUUAUUUGUUUAUAAAUAUUUUAUUUAUGCUUGUCUGUGUGUGUAUUCAGUGGUGCUAUGCUUAAUAAAAAAAUAUAAAUUA
This is a long non-coding RNA of Cyprinus carpio carpio, 4059 nucleotides long. Lineage: Eukaryota; Metazoa; Chordata; Actinopteri; Cypriniformes; Cyprinidae. The record is from Ensembl.